Long non-coding RNA from Gordionus sp. m RMFG-2023, 182 nucleotides. RefSeq lists it as uncharacterized. NCBI's taxonomy places the organism in Eukaryota, Metazoa, Nematomorpha, Gordioida, Chordodea, Parachordodidae. The record is from RefSeq and is a predicted model, not a curated record. The transcript is spliced from 2 exons.
UAUUGUUGCCAGCUGACCAAGAUCGAAAGAGUGGGUUGAUUCGGUUUUAAAGUAUUCCGUCAUAGGAAGCUGAAAGACCUCAUGAACAGCAGGACAGAAAGGAUUGUUAAAUAUUUAAAUAUGUGAAAUUUAUGAAAAUAUAUAUGGAUAUAGACUUUUGUAAUAAAGUGUGUAUUAUUUAA